AUUUCCGUAGUGUAGUGGUCAUCACGUUUAUAUGCCAAAGGUCCCCAGUUCGAAACUGGGCGGAAACA
This is a non-coding RNA of Danionella cerebrum, 68 nucleotides long. NCBI's taxonomy places the organism in Eukaryota, Metazoa, Chordata, Actinopteri, Cypriniformes, Danionidae. The record is from the annotation of a GenBank genome assembly.